This 7489-nucleotide long non-coding RNA is filed under the name Gossypium barbadense (sea-island cotton). Its description in RNAcentral is "long non-coding RNA (GBAR_LNC009184)". Lineage: Eukaryota; Viridiplantae; Streptophyta; Magnoliopsida; Malvales; Malvaceae. The record is from RNAcentral.
AUCGUUCGUUUAAAUAAGUACUAAGCACAACCAGAGGUAAAAUUUAAACUUCACUAAGUAAACAUUCAAAAGAUGCCAUUUUCGCAUGGCUUAUAUACAUUAACCAAAGAUAUUCUUCCGCCACUAGUCUAUUCUAUACAUGCCAUAAGAUAAUCCAAAACGUAGCAGUACCAAACAAUGGAUAGUGAUAGUGUGACUAGUUGCUGAUGAUCCCCGAGCUUGUAGCUUCCAAAUGAGAUCUAUAAAACAGAGCAAACAGAGUAAACGGAGUAAGCAUUACAAUGCUUAGUAAGUUUUAAGCAGUGUCAACAGAUAACAAUCAAAUUAUAACAUAGUUGUUCGUAUAGUUUAUUUCACUCUUCCUUCGGGCAUACCAUCCCUUUUUCCGAAUAUGCACAUCUCAUCAUAUACAAUAGGCAGAUAAACUUUCAUAUAAAAGUGAGCUCAUGUGACAUAGAUAUAUCGUAUGAUUUCACAUAACCUCUCACACUGAUCCGAUGUCACAUAAUCAUAGGAAUAGUCUCAUAGAUUGCUCUCUAUGCAUCACAUAACUACCUUAUGAUUUAGUGCAAAUCAAGCUCACAUAUAAACUUGGAGUACAUACUUGUUUAACCUUUCGCAUUGAAUAUAUUUAUAAGCAAUUCUUAUUACGAAGUCUUACCCGGACAUAAUCUCCACACGAAAUUAUCGGGUCUUACCCGGACAAAAUCCCCACACGUAGUCAUCGGGUCUUUAGAGCUCAGAUAUAGUACGAGCACGAAGCUUACGGACAUUAAUCAGUGAUAAUAUUCUCGCAUAAAGCCUGCGGGGUUUUAACCCGGAUAUAGUGCUGACACAAAUGCCCUUCGGGACGUAUCACAUUUAUACACUUUCACAUCCAUCACGUUGGCCACUCGGCCCUGUCACAUAUAUACACUUUCACAUUCAUCACAUCGGCCAUUAGGCCUUAUCACAUAUAUACACUUUCACAUUCAUCACAUCGGCCAUUAGGCCUUAUCACAUAUAUACACUUUCACAUUCAUCACAUCGGCCAUUAGGCCUUAUCACAUAUAUAUACACUUUCACAUUCAUCACAUCGGCCAUUAGGCCUUAUCACAUAUAUACACUUUCACAUUACCAACCCUUUUAUUCAUACACAAAGAUCAACUUAGCCAAAGGCCGGUAGCUCAUUUAUCAACUGAGCGAAUACUUAUUUGUAAGGGCUCAACUAAUUCAAAGCACAUACGAAACAUACCUCAAUGUUUGGAUGUUUCAAGCGUAUUAACUAAAAUUUUUACAGCAAGAUCAUUCAUUCCCAAAUCACAUACCUUCGGAAUUUAACCGGAUAUAGCUACUCGUUCAAAUGCCUUUGGGACAUAGCCCGGUUAUAGUAACUCGCACAAAUUCCUUCGGGACUUAACCCGGAUUUAGUAACUAGCACAAAUGCCUUCGGGCUUAGCCCGGAAUUAGUAUCUCGCACAAAUGCCUUCGGAUCUUAGUCCGGAUUUAGUAUCUCGCACAAAUGCCUUCGGAUCUUAGUCCGGAUAUGGUCACUUAGCACAAAGCCUUCGGGACUUAGCCCAGACAUCAUUCAAAUAACCAUGCACAUUUAACAAUAAAUCAUGGCACAUUCGUAUUUCAUUUUCGUUAGCAAAACUCAAACACAAGACACUUAUCAUUCUUGCAAUUUCGGCUCAAUAGCCACACACAAAGAGCAUGAUUUUGAUUUGCUUAAAACAUGAUCUAAUCAAAUCAUAAUUUAAGCUCUAUUACUCAAGAACUUACAAUAUCACGAUUUAGAAUUCAAGUAUGGGUUUAAUCAAUAGCUUGUGAGCAACUAAAACAAGUUUAUCAAGGUUCACAACAUAAUCUCAAAUUCAGCACAAGCUGUUUUUCCUGAGCAAUAGUCACUAAAUUAUUUAUAACUAGAGCUAAAAAACUCCAAAUCACUUUCCGUUAAUUUUUCCUGAAUAUAGACUCGUAUAUCUUCCACCCAUAAAAUUUCCAGAAUUUUAGGUUUGGCCAAUCAAUACCAGAUUUUUCUUAAAGUUUCCCCUGUUUCACUGUUUGACUAAUCUAACCACUCUUCACUACGAAUCAAAUUUCUCAUUUUACAGAAUUCAAAAUGUGUUUUAUUUGAUUCCAUUUGAAACUAGACUCAUUAAUGAGUCUAAGCAUAUAAAUUUUAUCUUAUAAACAUUUUUUUACAAUUUAUAAUGAUUUUCUAAAAACAGAACAGGGGAUUUCGGAGUCAUUCUGACACCGUCUCACACAACUUUAAAUAUCUCAUUAUCGGAAAUUCCUUUGCUUACACGGUUUCUUUUAUAAGAAACUAGACUCAUUAAGCUUUAAUUUCAUGUCUCAUUCAGCCUCUAAUUCAAGUCCAUAAAUUUAUGGUGAUUUUCUAAAGUCACGUUACUGCUGCUGUCCGAAGCAGACUAUUUCAAAUUACCCUUAAAUUCCCAAGCUCAAACACUUAAGAACUUACCAUUUGAGCUUAGAACAUAUCAUGGCCACAUCAUAUCUUAUUAAAUCAACUCAUCAUGUCCUAUUAUAAUUGAAUUUACUCAACGUUUAAACACUUAAAACUUACCUUGGAUGUGGUCGAACAAUUUCGGCAGCUAUUCGAUCACUUCUUCCCUUCCCUUAUCCAACUUUGGUCCUCUAAGCUCUUGAGCUUAAUUUAACAAAUAAAUUGAUUUAAUCAUUUGAGCAUCAAAAGAGGAACUCAAGGUACUUAGCCCAUAUAUACAUACAUUAGACAUUAAAGUCACAUACAUAUGAAAUCAUAAAUCAAUUCAACAUAUUAGCCCACACUCUCUUUUAGCCGAUUGUCUAAGCCAAGAUAAAAGCAUCAAUAUGCUUGCCUCUAGCCGAAUACAUGCAACACCAAGCAAGAAUGAUGCAUCCAUGGCCGAGUAUCAUCUUCAUAACUUUACAAAAACAUUUGCCAUGAGCUAGCUUCUAUACUUGGUGGCCACUCCAAAUAUACAAAGAUUUUCAAUGAUAGAGCAUUAACAUACCUUAAUACAUCAAAAUAAUUAAAUUCUUCCCAUGGCACACUAAAACCGAAUAUGUCUUAUUCAAAUAUAAAUUCUCAUAUUUCAUUUAUUUAACCAUUUAACCCUCCUAUCAAAUAAUUUUCACAAACUAAUCUUAAACUCAAAAUCACAUAAAAUCGUAACACAAAAGGCAUUCAUCUAACACUUGAUUUCUAAAUUCUAACAUCAAACUCAAAUUUCUUAGCUCAUCAACUCAUGGCCGAACAUCAAUUAUUCACCAAAACAAAAAUUAACUCAUGGGUUUUAGAGAAAAUUAAGUAAGGAAUUCAAUGAUACUAAAAAUUAACAAAAACAACCUGAAUUUCACCUUGAAUUUUUGCUUCCAAAUGGCCGAAACUUCAAAGCCACAAAUUUUAUUUUCUUUCUCCUUUGUUCGGCCUCCAAGAUGAACUACAUGCAUGUUCUUUUUUUCUUUUUUUUUAUGCCCCAUACCGUCCAUAUCAAUUGUCUAAGGUUAAAUAUCAUCACAAAUACUCCAACUUACAAAAACAACUUCAAUUCGGCCCUGAAGAUACAAACAUGCAUGGCUUUCCAUUUUAUGUUUUAUAAUACUUAUUUUUAUGUUUUAUAAUACUUAUAAAAAUAAUUAUCUCACAAAUAACUUUAAAAUAAACAUAUAAAGACAUCAUGCAUUAAGCCAUUACCAUCCAUAUAUUUAUUAAUGAUAUAAUUGCCAUUCAAAACCUCAAUAUUCUAAAGACAUAACACUUUAACAUUUUCAUGAUAGCAUGCUUAUUAAUCAAUUGAUGCAUUUUAAUCCUUUUUAAUGACAUAAAGAAAGAAAGAAAAAUAUUUACCAAGAGUUUCAAACUACUUGGCCGAAUAUCAAACCUCCAAACAACCAAAAAAUUUAACUCAUGGAAUGGAUAGAAUUUGAACAAAUCACCAAAAUUAUAUAUAAAUUUUCAAGAAUUUCAAAGUACUUACCUCUUUCUAAAUAUUCUCCAAGCCGAAAUCAUACAAAGAAAUUUUUUUCUUCCUUCUAAUCUCAAGUUACGGCAAUGGUAGAGUGAGGAUGAACCAACUUUGUUUUUAUCACCCAUUUCUUUUAAUAUAAGUUCAUAUUUCAUAUUAUUUAUUCAUUUAACAUUUAAUUUAUUAAUAUAAAAGGCAUAUAUUUUGUAUCCCAUGCUCCUUAUUUUAUCAUACUUCCCAUGAAACACUAACUUAACAUGUUUAUGACAUGUUCUUGCCCAUCACACUUGGUCUACCAUACUUGUCAUGGCCGGCCACUACUAAUUAGGGGGGAAAUUGACAUGCAAGUCCCCCCUUUUUAUUUCAUGCACUAAUAGAUCCUUAUGCUUUGACCUAUCACAUUUCAAAAUUUUCUCACAUAAGUCCUAUUUGAUAAAAUUCACUUACUAUUAACAAAAUUCAAACAUGAAAUUUUCACACAUGCAUAUGUACAUAUAAUGAGCAUCAACUAUGACGGUUAAUUAUCUUUAUGACUCGGUUUAGUGGUCCCGAAACCACUUUCCGACUAGGGUCACUUUAGGGGUGUCACAGAUUAUGCUUAUUCCAAAGAUUAUUAAUCCUUCUAAUCUGACUCAUUUUCGGCCAAUUAGUCUCUGUAAUGUUAUUUAUAAACUUGUGGCAAAGGUGAUUGCAAAUAGAUUUAGAGGAGUCAUUGAUAAAUGUAUUGAUGAAGCACAUAAUGCAUUUGUGCUAAGGAAACUCAUAACAGAUAAUGCACUAGUGGCCUAUGAAGUUUUACAUUCAAUGAAACAGAAGAGAGGGGGGAAGAAGGGAUUUAUGGCCAUCAAGUUAGAUAUGAGUAAGGCCUACGACAAAGUAGAAUGGAAUUUUAUUCAAGAAAUUAUGAGUAGAAUGGGUUUUUCUCAAAAAUGGAUUGAAUCUAUUAUGAAAUGUAUCUUUAGUGUUUCUUAUUCAGUAGUGGUUAAUGGUAACAAAAGAGAUAUAUUCUAUCCAACAAGGGGACUUAGACAAGGAGAUCCAUUAAGCCCUUUUUUAUUUCUGAUAUGUGGAGAGGGUCUAUCAGGUCUAAUGCGAAUGGCUAUUAGCGAAGGAGUUAUAAAAGGUGUUAAAGCUAGUAGAAGUGGCCCCAGGGUGUCUCAUUUACUAUUUGCUGAUGACUGCAUAAUGUUUUAAGAAGCAACAAGAAGGGGAGUAAGAGCAAUCAAGCAGAUUUUGCGUGAAUAUAAAAAUAGUUCAGGUCAGUUCGUAAACUUUGAAAAAUCAGCAGUAUUUUUUAGCAACAACAUAUCUGUGGAAGUUAGGCAAAUAGUGAUCACCCAAUUGGGAAUCCACAGCUCCAAUGAAUUAGAAAGGUAUUUAGGACUGCCAAGUUUAGUUGGGAAAAGGAAAAAAGAAUCUUUUCAAGCAUUUAAGGACAAAAUGAAACAGCGGAUUGAUAAUUGGUGUAUGAGAUUACUGUCUCAAGGUGGAAAGGAAAUAUUUAUUAAAUCAGUUUUACAAGUGAUACCGACUUACUCAAUGGCUUAUUUUUUUAUUACUGAAGACAUUAUGUGAUGAAAUGGAAGGCAUUGUAGCCAAGUUUUGGUGGCAAAAGGGACGUGGAAAGAAAGGAAUUCAUUGGUGUUUAUGGAGAAAUAUGUGUUCUUUAAAAGAAGUUGGAGGUAUGGGUUUCCGAAUUUUUUGCCAAUUUAAUGUUGCGUUAUUAGCCAAGCAGGGCUGGAGCCUUAUUAAUAAUCCGAGUUCCUUAUUAGCCAGAGUUUUUAAAGCCAAAUAUUAUCCAUAAUCAAAUUUUUUAAACGCAUAGUUGGGUUAGUUACCUUCAUAUACCUAGAAGAGCAUUUAGGCAGCACGAGGGCUCAUUCAGGAUGGGUUGUGUUGGAAAGUCAGUCGAGGGACCGAGAUUGAUGUCUGGACUGAUUGCUGCAUUCCUGGAUGUGAAGCCAUUGGUAGACAAGGUAGAGAGACAAACAGUGAUGUCCUAUUAGUUUCGGAUUUAAUCAAUAAUACUAGUAGGACUUGGAAGCGAGACCUGAUCAAUAAUACCUUUCAAUCAGGCAUAGCGCAAAAAAUUUUGAAGAUUCCUUUGGCAGAGUCAGAACAUGUUGACUUUCAGGUGUGGAAAGAGGAACCUUCAAGGGAGUUCUCAGUAAGAAGCGCCUAUAAACUAUUACAUCAUUCUAGCUCGAAUCCUAAUAUUUAUCCAUUACAACCCAAAAUAAGAAACUUCUAUAGAAAAUUGUGGGAUUUACAGCUACCGGGUAAAAUAAAGAUACUAGUUUAGCGAAUUUCCUGGAACUACAUCCCUUCCCUAAUAAAUCUAAGAUCCAAGAAAGUAAUAGAGAAUGCUCUGUGCCCUCGGUGCAGACUCAAAGAGGAAGACAGUAACCAUAUCUUUAGAUUUUGUCCUGCAAUCAGUGAAAUAUGGAAUCUCAUUAAUCUCUCUUAGACCAUUGAUCAUGAUAAUCAAAGUUUCUAGAAGUGGCUUAUCUGGGUUUUUGAAAGGAGUACAAUGGAGCAAUGUCGGUCCUUUUGUUGUGCGCUAUGGUGCGUUUGGAGUUCCCGAAAUCAGCUUGUACAUGAAAAGAAAAUCAUACCAGUUAGGGAUUUAGCAAGGAAAGUCAGCAGUUACAUAGCAGAACUGGAAGGGAUCCGAAUGAAAACAUUUACCUCUUCUUCCAAAAGGGACAACAGUUAUACUAGGGCGACGGAGGGUACCACAGUUCAGUUUGAUGCCGUUUUUGACAAAAGAAAUGAUAGAUCUGCCUCAGGUAUAGUCGUUCGAGACUAGACAGGAGCUUUAAAAGCCUCAAAGUCAGUUAUACAUGAGGAUACCCCGACCCCGUUCGCAGCAGAAGCCCUCGCAGGAUUAGAUGCCAUUAAGUUAGUAAUAGAAAUGAGGUUAACAACAGUAACAAUAGAGAGGGACUCGAGAAUAGUCAUUCAAAAAUGUCAAUCGACAGAAAUUGAUAAGUCGGUCCUUGGGGUGAUUAUUUAUGACAUACAGACCAGAAAAUCCAGGGGUUCAAGACGUUACUUUCAAGUUUAUCCAUAGAACGAAUAACAUUCAAGCCCAUAAUCUAGCAAAAAAAGGGUUGGAGAGAAGGGAGGACUCAUACCUGGGAGGGAAGACGACAAUUCAUAGAGUUGCAGACUCAGAGGGAAGAUGGAGAGAAUCGCCAGAUUGAAGAUGAAUGGACAAGGAGUAGGGUGCAGUUAAGGGUAGCAAGGAAUUGAUAUCUUAGGGAACGACUAUCUGCAAAGGCAUGGCUGUUGGGACGUGAAAAGACGAGUAAAGAAUUAAAUGGCCAGGCUGUUAGAUGUGACUGGGAGAUUUUCUGUUGAUUUCCUUUUGUUUUUCUAUUUUUUUAUUCUUUAUUGUCUUUUAUCAUCAUUUCUGAGAAACGGGCUAGCUAUUAAGGAAGCCCAACUUAGUUUGUUUUGUUUGUUUGGCAGUCGGACUUAAGCCCAAAUGUUAAUUUGGGUAUUGGUUUUAUUCUAUUUGUAAAGAGCCC